Long non-coding RNA from Saccostrea cuccullata (small rock oyster), 1420 nucleotides. RefSeq lists it as uncharacterized. NCBI's taxonomy places the organism in Eukaryota, Metazoa, Mollusca, Bivalvia, Ostreida, Ostreidae. The transcript has 5 exons. The record is from RefSeq and is a predicted model, not a curated record.
GAAAAAGAGCACCAAAGACCCAGAUUUUGACAUCAUUUCCUGGUUGAACAAGAUGAAGCAGAGUAAUAAAUGGGUAGGCUUUACCUGAUUGGCUGAAUUGAGGUAUGUAAAUAUUUUCAUUUUAAAGUAAAAAUAUUAAUGUUUGAAAUAAAUGAUGGAAUGUGGGAAUAUUACAAAAAUUCUAGAAAUACCAGGGGAGAUUGUAGGAGUGGGGAUUGAUAUUUUUGGCAGGGUGUCAUUUACUGCCGAUCUCUGUAAGUUCUAAAUAACUGCAAAUUUGACCUAUAAACGCCGCGGAACGGUAUAUUUUUUUUCGUGUUUUUAAUAAGUGCUUAGAACGAACUUUCAAAUAAUACCAGUGAUUUGUUUGAACGGGAAUUAGUAAAUUACUUGGAGGGCAAAAGCUUCCUGGACCCGGGAGAGCUUGGUAUCUGAUCGGCGGGGGGCAUUUUCUCUAUAUAAGAAGAAGAUGGAGACUCGCUACCCACCCGAUAUAUUUUGUCGGACAGAUUUCUGUACAUUGCAGUGACAACUGUAUCCAGAUUUCAUCACAGGAAUGAAAGUUUUUCACUCUUUGGAAAAGCACCUGCAGCAGGGAGGGGACAUUCAUUAAGAUGGCCACAGAUUCCAAGACACUGAAGUGACAGGCCUCAAAUUUCAUACAUGUAUAUUGCUUCCUGGACCCGGGAGAGCUUGGUAUCUGAUCGGCGGGGGGCAUUUUCUCUAUAUAAGAAGAAGAUGGAGACUCGCUACCCACCCGAUAUAUUUUGUCGGACAGAUUUCUGUACAUUGCAGUGACAACUGUAUCCAGAUUUCAUCACAGGAAUGAAAGUUUUUCACUCUUUGGAAAAGCACCUGCAGCAGGGAGGGGACAUUCAUUAAGAUGGCCACAGAUUCCAAGACACUGAAGUGACAGGCCUCAAAUUUCAUACAUGUAUAUUGGUAAGUAUAAGGUCUUUGAAAAUUACAAAAUUGACUAAUUCUGGGAUAGGUAAAUAUGUAAGUAUAGGAAAAAGAGCACCAAAGACCCAGAUUUUGACAUCAUUUCCUGGUUGAACAAGAUGAAGCAGAGUAAUAAAUGGGUAGGCUUUACCUGAUUGGCUGAAUUGAGGUAUGUAAAUAUUUUCAUUUUAAAGUAAAAAUAUUAAUGUUUGAAAUAAAUGAUGGAAUGUGGGAAUAUUACAAAAAUUCUAGAAAUACCAGGGGAGAUUGUAGGAGUGGGGAUUGAUAUUUUUGGCAGGGUGUCAUUUACUGCCGAUCUCUGUAAGUUCUAAAUAACUGCAAAUUUGACCUAUAAACGCCGCGGAACGGUAUAUUUUUUUUCGUGUUUUUAAUAAGUGCUUAGAACGAACUUUCAAAUAAUACCAGUGAUUUGUUUGAACGGGAAUUAGUAAAUUACUUGGAGGGCAAAAGGUUUGUA